AGGCUUUGGAGAGCGGACUCGGCGGAGCGGAAGUCGCUGAGGUGGACGGAGGUGGCGGCAGCGAGCGACGAUGAACAACAAAUUCGACGCAUUGAAAGAUGAUGAUAGCGGAGACCAUGACCAAAAUGAGGAGAAUAACACACAGAAAGACAGUGAGAAGGAAAAGAAUGAUCGAGAGAAACCACAGAGUACUACCAAGAGGAAGGCUGUUGUCCCAGGGCCAGCUGAGCACCCCUUGCAGUAUAAUUACACCUUCUGGUACUCCAGACGAACACCCGGGAGGCCUACCAGCUCGCAGAGUUAUGAACAGAACAUCAAACAGAUUGGCACCUUUGCCUCUGUGGAGCAGUUCUGGCGGUUUUACAGUCACAUGGUACGUCCUGGGGACCUGACAGGCCAUAGUGACUUCCAUCUUUUCAAAGAGGGGAUCAAACCCAUGUGGGAGGAUGAUGCCAACAAAAAUGGUGGUAAAUGGAUUAUCCGUCUGCGAAAGGGCUUAGCGUCACGAUGCUGGGAGAAUCUCAUUCUGGCAAUGUUGGGAGAACAGUUUAUGGUGGGGGAAGAAAUCUGUGGGGCAGUCGUCUCUGUCCGAUUCCAGGAGGAUAUUAUCUCGAUAUGGAACAAGACAGCCAGCGACCAGGCCACAACAGCCCGGAUACGUGAUACAUUACGAAGAGUCCUCAACCUACCUCCCAACACCAUCAUGGAAUAUAAAACACACACCGAUAGCAUCAAGAGGUCGGUGCAGAUGUGUUCAUUUCAAAGUCAUGAUGCCUUCCCUAUUUGCCUUUGCUACAGAUACUGCCAGAUACGUGAAAAAAUUAUUUCAAACUGAAAGAAUAUCCUAGAUUUUUUAAAGCUGUUAGUUUUCAGGCCUGUCAUGAAGUUCUUGACUGGCUUUGAACAAAUCCCAAACACUCUCAUAGAACAUGGGGAGCAGCCAGAAAGAGGCUGUGCUGCUCUAGACACAAUACCUGCAGAGUGUAGUGAGUGGUCAGUGUGCUGGGAGAUUGCACGCAGGCUGGCAGAAGGGACAGACCUUGGGGACUGUUGUGACGAUAGUAUGCACUAUGGGCUGUCUCCUUUUUUAGCUGGGGAAGGAGAUGGUAAGGAGGCAGGGCUGCACGGGGAAAUACUGAAGGGGAACUGCUAGGACUUAAAAGAUUGAGGGUGGUUAGAGGAAACAGCUAGUGCUGCUUGCACAAUGGUCAUUUGGAAAGUCCCUUGAGGCAGCUGUGGUGGCUCUUCCUCUUUUUGCUGGAGUCUCCGACAGUAGCUCCUAUUUGCAUUUUUUUUCCCCCAACUUAUUUGAUGGGGGUAAAGGGAGCCCUGCCUGGGUCCUGACCCUGGACAGUGGGGGAGAAGAUGGGAAGUUUCAACAGUUGUGGGUCAAGAAUGAGUGUGGAAGAACAGCUCUGGCUGGCUUUAUUUUGCCUGCUAAUGUUUCCAUUUCCCAUCUGUUCAAUGGGAAUAACCUAAGUGUUGGGAAUCAAUUCAGUGAGUAUCUGAUCGCUGCGCAGACAGUAUAGCAAUAAGGUACUAAAAAUGUCUAUACAUAAAAAUAACCUCUUAGACUCUCUGGCACUGUGCCUUUGGCACGUCACAGAUCGUAAAGAUUCUGCCAGACAAAAUUAACUGGCAGCCUUGUUCGGUACAAAAUGGAGAGCAGUUUGCUCCGCUAGCAUAGUUUAGGUACAUUAGGGCAGACACAUCCUGGUGGAUUUUUUCAGUCAAGUCAGCAGAUAGUUGGAGUCAUUAGUACUAUAAUAUAUAUGAGGGUCUUGGCUUAAAAAUUCUUGGCUGGAGGAGCUUUUUCUCUCUGUCUGAGGAGGACUUGGCAGCUGAAGGACUAUGUGCAUGAUGUUAUUGGGAUGUUGGAACAGGGAACUCCUUGGUUUGAAAGGGGUAAUAAAUUAUCGAUUAUGUUGACAAAUAAUCUGCCCUUGUAUCCCUUCUGUAGAGAACAAAAGUUACAAGUUUGGGGAGAACUGUGGGAGAGGAAGGAGAGAAGAUGUGGUUAUGGGUGAUGGAAACGUGGUAGCAAUAUAAGGCGUGGGAGGUUGGACGGAAGACAUGAAGGUAGAGACUUUUUGACAAGGCUGGAGAUGUGCAUAGCUUUCCAAUCUGUAUUCAGCAGCUAAGAGGGCUUCAAAUCCAGAGUUUCUCUUCCCCCUAACUUUCUUCUGGAGGGAGGCAGUUGUACCCACAGUGUCUAGUACCAUGUGCUGACUGGGUGACACGGGCAGUUUUCCUUUUUCUGGAAGACUUCUUGGCCUUGUGGCCUUGAAGGGUGCUGUGUCUGGGGAGACUUGGGGGAAAAGUUCCCAUUUAGGGGCUUCUGUGCUGCUGCCUUGCUUAGAAUGAGCCACCUGUGGGUUUCUUUCCUCUAGGCAGCAUACUGCUGUACUUCAGGCUGAAUUGCAGAUCUGACCUGGUGUAGUAAUGCACCACAGCUGUGUCCUGUGUGCUGUCCUGUUGCAUCUGCAGCACCCUUUUCUGACUUUCUCCCUCACAUUUCCUUUGCCUUCAGGGACUCAUGUCUAAGGGUCAGCUAGACAUACCAUGUAGCUUUGGGACUCCCAUGGAGGACUGUUACUCCCUUGUCCAUCCUAGUCAAGAUCAGGAGGAUUUUGAGCUACCAUGGAUGGAGGGAGACUGAGGAGAAAACCUAGCCAGCCAUAGAUAAGGACUCUCUUAGACCAGCUCAUCACCUUGGUAGUUCACAGGAGCCUGCGCCUUGGGAUCCUAUGGAGGUUUAGUUGCUUCUUGGAAGUUUUGUCAAAGCAGUUUUGAGCUGGGAAGAACUGGAGUGUUUUGCCACUCACCAGGCCUGUACUGGUGAUGCUGAAGUCAGUGAUCUUUAGGAUUUCACCUUCAGCGCUUUCAAAAGAGGGAUUUGCUGUCCUUUGGUCUGGGAAGGCAGUGUCACAAGUUCCAAGUUGUACACCACAGUGACAAGCUUCUUGCUUGUGCCCUCUUUGUUGGGUUCCCACCAAGAUUGCCUGUAUGUGGUGUACAGUCUUGCAGAGUGCAUGUGAUGGGCACUCUGCCAGUAUACUCUGUGUUUGUUUGGGCUAUGACUCUGCUGGGAAAGAGCGUAUGACACCUGAGCUGCUUUUGCAAAUGCUGAUUGGGAGCUUGACUCUGUGAGGCUCAGGUAAGAGCCAGGCUGGUAGUCUGGUUUUGGCACAGAUGCUGACUAAUACAGGCAAUGCAGAAAACAAGAUGUGAGGUAGCUGCUAAGUACCAGCAACAAAAUCUGCAGUGUGGUCUGGUUUUAUGACUGACCUGGGUUCCCUUUAAGGUCCCUCCAGCUCCAUGGGACUCUCUGGGUUCAGUAAAUGGCUUGAGCAUGUGCUGUAGGCACCAGCACUGUUUUGCUGGGCAUGGACAACUAUGAGAUUCUUUGAUGUCUCUGAUCCCAGAAGAUAAUAGUCAUGCUCACAUUAACCUCGGCAUCUUUUCCCUGAGAGGGCUUUCAGUAUGCUGCCUUCGUAAAACAGACAGCAAUUUUUCAGUCUGCUAGCUUCGUCCGUCAGUAACAUUCUCCACCAGGGAAUGCAGCGUUAGGCCUGUCCUUCUAACUUAUCUGAAAACAUUUUCAUUUCAAAUAGCUGUAAUGUUUUUACUGGGUUGUCAUUAACAAUGCAGGUUUACAAUAGGAAAUGAGACUUUCUAAUAACAAUUGGAUUCUGCUGCCUGAUUGAAGAAUUUGGUAAUAACUAAGCUGUGUGGCAUUAAAAGAAGCCCCUUUUGGGGGGAUUACUACAUAGACAGGUAUGUGGUGAAGCAUGAGGCCAGUAACUGGCUGAGUUUAACCAGCCAAGGAACGUGAUAAUCCUCCAGAAAGACGUAACAUCGGCUAUUUUAUUAGCAAUAGGAAAUGGAUAUUCCAUUUGUGACUGGGAAGGUCAUACCUGUCUCUGGGUAUUAAUGUAGCUAUAUCACCAGCAGCCAGUGGGAACGCUUCAUGUCUGUGCAGAACGUUAAAGCUGCCUCGCGCUGUCAGAUGUUUGGCUGGGUUUUAAGGAUGCUUCUAUCCACUAGGGCUAUCAGAGAAUAUUGCCUUGCUCUCUGAAGACAAGUGCCUUUCAAACGCCAUUGAAUGUUUCUGCUCUCGUUAAAAGUUAAGAAGCCUUUGAUCUGAAGUGCUGUUUUUUUGUUUUUUGUUUCAUUUUUUUUUUUCCCUCUGGCUUGCCAGGGCCUGGGAGGAGUUUCAUGGCCUGGUGAACAGCAGUGGCCGCUGAUCGAACGCUCCCCCUCCCUCUGUCACACCCAGGGGAUAAUUCAAGCUUUCGAAACACAAAAAUCACAUUGUGAGAACAAGAGUUGGCACUAAGCUCCUCUCUCCGUGUUGAAAGCACUGAGAGGUCUCCACCAGUGCCCUCCGACCUCUGAAAGGACUCAUGGGCCACUCUCUUGCACUCCUCCUUGGAGGAAGGAUCCAUCUGAAGCCCUCCAGCAGCGGUGACAAUAGAGGCUGAUUUUUGUCAUACACAAACUUUUUUUUAGCAGUGGGGCGGGAGGCCAACCUUUCAAUUAGCAGCGUGCCCUUGGGGCCGCAUCUUGCAGCACUUUCCUCUCUUUCUCUGCAUGGCAUGCAGGAUCUCUGGGAUUCUGCCUCAAUGUCAGAGCCUUUUGCUGAGGGAUACCAGUAUUAUAAAUCUCUCUGCACCUGGGAGGAGCUUCCCAGUUGAGAGUCAGCCCUAUGGUUUUCAAAUGCCCCCUUUCAGCUCUGCCAAUAAAU
Haliaeetus leucocephalus (bald eagle) is the source of this 4747-nucleotide RNA transcript. It is a transcript of the gene named eukaryotic translation initiation factor 4E family member 2, with no coding region annotated. The record is from RefSeq and is a predicted model, not a curated record. The transcript has 8 exons. NCBI's taxonomy places the organism in Eukaryota, Metazoa, Chordata, Aves, Accipitriformes, Accipitridae.